UAGUGUAGUAGACUAGUCCACAUUUAUACUUCAUUAUUAAUUCAUCACUUUGAAGCACUUCUUACUUGUGAUGUAUUUUUAGAACUGUUCCCAGCCAACUAGCUUCCUACCUUCCCAGAGGGCCCCGAUUACCUCCUGGGGCCGCAAUCCACCGACCCCCUCCAGCCCUGAGACCAGUGAGACCUCUGGACCCACCAGCUCCACCUCUACAUCAUUGGUCAUCAAGAACGAGAGCUUCAGGAAGGAAAGCUUUGUGAGUUUCUCUUUAAAACCAGCAUCAGGAAACCAAGUAAGUAGCAUGUAUGCAUUAUAACUGCAUCUUUGUCUUAUCGUACCGUUUAAAUAUGACUGAGUAUUCUGUAUGUCUUUUUUAUUCAAACAGGUGGUCCAGCUGACUGG
Molecule: long non-coding RNA, 399 nt
Filed under: Cottoperca gobio
Lineage: Eukaryota; Metazoa; Chordata; Actinopteri; Perciformes; Bovichtidae
Description: lncRNA (ENSCGOG00000010588.1)
Source: RNAcentral